Molecule: ribosomal RNA, 252 nt
Filed under: uncultured bacterium
Lineage: Bacteria
Description: partial 16S ribosomal RNA
Rfam family: Bacterial small subunit ribosomal RNA
Source: RNAcentral
UACGUAGGGGGCAAGCGUUGUCCGGAUUUAUUGGGCGUAAAGAGCGUGUAGGCGGCUUGGUAGGUCUCGCGUCAAAACCUGAGGCUCAACCUCAGUUCGCGUGGGAAACCACCUAGCUAGAGUCCGGAAGAGGAGAACGGAAUUCCUGGUGUAGCGGUGAAAUGCGCAGAUAUCAGGAGGAACACCCGUGGCGAAAGCGGCUCUCUGGGACGGUACUGACGCUGAGACGCGAAAGCGUGGGGAGCAAACAGG